ACGGCGCGCAUAACAUAGGCUCGCGAGAGCGACGGCGACGGUGACAUGACGUCGCGGCGCCGCGCUCUCUCCUCACGCAACACUGUGGCAGCUGGUGUUCACCUGUCGACCGCUCUGCUCCAUCGAAGCGCGCUCGUGCCCGGCGUUCCGGCUCAGUUGGUACGACUGCGCUGAAGGGACCGGAGGCAGCGAGAAAAUCUGGCCCCUGCCCACUAAAGCCUAAGCAUUCUUUGCCACCGGGAAGGCCUCGGACACGCAUAAGCUAGGAAAAUCAAGCGAAGCAUCUAAGUAGCGCUCAUGUCGAAGGCCAAGCCAUUCACUCAAAUCAUAGACGGUACCCAUCGAGAUCCACAUUGGGAUCCAGCCUUCGUUAGAGAAGCGUUGAAAUUUCGAGCAAAACAAGGAGAUUUAGUCCUGCAUUCGUUUCCGAAAAGCGGCACCCACUGGGUUCUGUAUAUUGUGCAACUCAUUCUGAAGAAAGGCCAACCAAUCACAAGUCAUCUUGAUUUCUCGCAGAACAUGGUGUAUCUUGGAUCGGGAGGCCCCGACGACUUAAAGCCAAGCCUGCCGCUACGUCUGUUCCUAUCACACUUUCCCGUAAGAAAGGAAUUAAUGAGCAGCGAAGCAAAGUACAUCUACGUGACACGGAACCCGUGGGAUGUCUGCGUGUCAUUCUACCACAUGGUGACCAGUAUCAGCGUCUACCGUUUCCAAGAUGGCACAUUCGACGACUUUUUUGAUGCUUUCCUUAGCGAUGACGUCGCCGGCUACGGGAACUACUUUAAUCAUGUGGUUUCAGGAUAUGCCAUCAAGGACAUGCGCAACGUAUUUUUUCUCACUUAUGAGAAUUUGAUAGCAGACACCCGAGGCACCGUACUGAAGCUCGCCCGUUUUCUGGGCGAAAGUUACGCAGUGGAUUUGGGAAAAGAUGAGUGCCUCCUUCGUGACUUACUUGAAAGAUGUUCAGCGGAUCGAAUGAGAGAUAUAAUGGUCGCGGACCUGAGCCCUAUCUCAAAUCCCGUCAUGGAAAAAGUGCAGCGGCGUCUUGGCGAAACUUGUAAGAAUGAACACCCCGGCGACAGCAACAAUACGUACUACUUCGUAAGAAGUGGCAAAGUGGGCGAAUGGAAGAAGUAUUUUUCACAGGAACAGCUGCAGCGCCUGGAGGAAGCAAUAAAGAAAGUAGAAAGAAUGUCGCCUGUGAUGGAUCUUUGGAGCGAUAUACGUGAAGAGGCCAACGAGGUAGCUGCUGCGAAAUACAGAAAAUAGAGGCGCGAACCUGGCGUUUUUCAAGCCAUCUAACCUGUUUCUUUAGUUGUUUCAAGAGCACGUUCAAAUAAAACUGUUUCAACUG
Dermacentor albipictus is the source of this 1354-nucleotide long non-coding RNA. RefSeq lists it as uncharacterized. The record is from RefSeq and is a predicted model, not a curated record. Lineage: Eukaryota; Metazoa; Arthropoda; Arachnida; Ixodida; Ixodidae.